This 493-nucleotide ribosomal RNA is filed under the name uncultured bacterium. RNAcentral describes it as "partial 16S ribosomal RNA". It matches the Rfam family "Bacterial small subunit ribosomal RNA", at positions 28 to 507 of the family's 1533-position model. The record is from RNAcentral.
GACGAACGCUGGCGGCGUGCCUAAUACAUGCAAGUCGAACGGUUUAGUUCCAAGAGGCUUGCCUUUUGGAACUAGACAGUGGCGGACGGGUGAGUAACACGUAGGCAACCUACCUGUCAAACCGGGAUAACCUCGGGAAACCGAAGCUAAACCCGGAUAAGCUCCUUUUUCGCAUGAAGGGGGAGUGAAAAGGUGCGACCUGAUGACAGAUGGGCCUGCGGCGCAUUAGCUAGUAGGUAGGGUAACGGCCUACCUAGGCGAUGAUGCGUAGCCGACCUGAGAGGGCGUACGGCCACACUGGGACUGAGAUACGGCCCAGACUCCUACGGGAGGCAGCAGUAGGGAAUCUUCGGCAAUGGGCGAAAGCCUGACCGAGCAACGCCGCGUGAGUGAGGAAGGCCUUCGGGUUGUAAAACUCUGUUGUUUGGGAAGAAGGGAAAGGGUAGGACCCUUUGGUGACGGGACCAACGAGAAAGCCCCGGCUAACUACGUG